Molecule: long non-coding RNA, 4130 nt
Organism: Alexandromys fortis (reed vole)
Lineage: Eukaryota; Metazoa; Chordata; Mammalia; Rodentia; Cricetidae
Exons: 2
Source: RefSeq, a predicted model, not a curated record
CCGGGGAAGGAAGGAGGAACCCGAGCCAGGAAAUAGGUUGCCGAGAGGAAGGCCCCGGCGGUGAGGUAGAAAUGAACCACAAGCCAGGAUAUGUGAUAGGAAUUUAUUAAUAAGCAAACAUCAUUCAUACCAAGAAUAGCAGCAAUGAAGUUAUAAAUGAUCUGAGAGAGAAUGUACUUGACGACUUUGGAGCAUCUCAUUAGAAUGUCUGCUGCCCAGGUAAGCCCACAAGGUCAUCUGUAAGGGCAAGGCAUUAUUUUAUAUUAUACCCCAAGGAAUGGUACCAACAGUAGCAGCAGCAAGCUACAGUAUUCAUUUGUUGAUAGGGUCCCUUAAAGUUUUAGGAUACAAAUUCGUGAAUCUCUGUCUGAACCAGCUCCUCCAGAGAGCUGGAUCUCCACAGCGUAAGACUCAAAAGCUACUGGUGUGACUUGUACAGCACUGUUUUACUCUGUAUAAGCAAUCUUGACUUUUUGCCUUUUCUGGCAGACUGCAGGAGCUUGCAAAGUUAAUGAGCCACAUCCACAGUGUAGUCAGUGAGGAACUUUACAGGUGCUAGUUAAGGCACAAAGUAGUCCUCGGGAAAUGUUACUCUAUGCAUAUAGAGCCGAUGUCAUCAUGUCAGGAUUGGCAAUCUUUAAGGGUCUGAAAAUAUAAGGUUCUAUUACUUCUUAACUCAUUAAAAUAGGGUGGCUCCUAAAUAUGAGAAAUUGCUGGUUUAUCUGAAGUUUUCAACAAAAAAAUUGCCACCGAGUUCCUAGAAAAACCUAAUAUUAGAAGUCUUUAAGCCCCAGCAGGUACUUUGCUAAGGCUAUCUGAAUAGUGUCAAGUGGCCAGAUGUGACUCCACUUGGUAACUGGCUGGGUUACAGGGCCACCCAUUUGCAUGAACAACCUUGGUUAACAGCUUCACACAAAUUGACAGACCCCUUCAGUGGACUGUUGAACCUCCAGUGCCCAAUGCUGUAUUGAAGCAAUUUAAUUAAUGGGGAUGACUAUCCACUUUCACUGAAAUGGGAAAGGUAACUGGUGAUUUAGACAAUGAUGAUUCACAUAGGCUCAUUAUUUCAAUACUUAGGAGACAUGUGCCUUGGAGGAGGUAUGUCACUCAGGGCAGGCUAUUCCAUUCCAAAAAUCUCAUGUCAUCAUUCCCAGUGUACUCCCUCUGCCUCCUACUUGAGGAUCAAGAUGUGAACCCUCAGCCAUCAUGAGCUCUAACCAUCUCAAACUGUAAGCCCGAUUAAACACUUUCUCUUGGAUGUUGCCUUGGUCAUGGUGUUUUGUCCUAAUAGGAAACUUAAAUAUUUAUGAUUUGUUUUAUAAAAGGAUUUAUUUUACCCAUUUUGAUCCCCACAAUAUUCCUAAUUUUAAAAAAAACCAACAUAAAAGAAUGUGGAAUCAGACAAGCAUGGAAACUAUGAACUCCUGACAGUAUUCUUAGAAUUCAGCUCGAGUGGGAGUAAUGUACCCUAUUUACACGAUUAGGUAUACAUUUGAGUUUGAGAUCCCUGAAUCCCUCAUGGAUGGAUGCAUUGUCAGAGAUGCUAAGUACCAAAGUGAAGACUGUUUUAUAACUUGGCAACAACAGUGAAAACCACCCAUGGCCCCAACCAAAUUUUGUCCAAGAAAGCAGUGUUACUCCUCAUUAAAUGCUUGAGAAAGAUAGUAGGUCUCUCUCUCCCUCUGUCUCAGACACAUACACACGACACACAUGUACCGAGAAAAUGUCAAAGUUUCUUUUAUUCUUAGAAUUGACUUUCAAUUGAGGGCUUCUAGGCUAUUAGGUGGGCUAGUUUAACUUGAAAAACAAUGUACAUUCUUUAAAAUAUAUACUAACUUCCCCAAAGAAAAAUGGAAAAAGAAAUCUUAACAGUCCACAUUUUUCAUUUCUGAAGGAGCCAAGAUUUCCCAUUUAAAAAAAAAAAAAAAAAAAAACCACCCAAGGUGAUAGGUGUGGUAGUACACACCUGUAAUCCCAGCACCCAGGAGGCAGGAAGAAAAGUUUUAAAUUGGAAGUCAGCCUGGGCUAUAGUGUGCUGAGACUCUGAGGUAAUACAAAAACAAACAAACAAAAACAGGAAAACAAACAACACCCCUGAAAAAGCAAACAAAAAACCCAAAAUUCAAAACUACCAGACUCUACAGUUGCAGGGAUAAAUGCUGAGAUCAAAUGCUCAACUGGAUUUAGUGGUACCUGCCUGUCAUUCUAGCACUUGGAGACAGAGGCAGGAUGAUCAGCAGUUCAAGGCCAUCCUUGGUUACCUAAGUUCUAGACUCAAGACUCAACUGGGCUACCUAAGGUUUUUAGUUUGUUUGAGACAGGGUUUCCCUAGCUGUCCUGGAACUCACUCUGUAGACCAGGUUGACCGCAAACUCACAGAGAUCUGCCUGCCUCUGCCUCCUGAGUGCUGGAAUUAAAGGUGUGUGCCACCACUUCCUGGCUAAGAUCUGGUCUUUAAAAGAACUAAAAAGAAAACAUUAGCUGCUGCUCUCUGCAUUUUCAGUUAUCAUGUAUAAAAGAAACCUUUUAGCAAGUCCCAGAAGGCUAUCCAUAUUCAAGGUCAACUGCAAAUAGCCUAUAAAUAGUUACACUAUGCUAUUCUCAACUGUCAUAUGUGGUCUGGCUGCCAAAUCUGUCAGUGGGGAAGGGCUCUUUUCUAGUCACCACUGGUUUCUAGAGGAAAUCAGGACUACAAUGGUGUAUGAAACAGUAACCCUCUGGAAGGAGCACUGUCAUGCAUUACUAAUGUCAAAGUAUGGUUUAGAAACACAGCAUUAAAAGCCAUUUCUUGUCCUGGACAUUACAUCAUUCUAAGACCAGAAUAAGAAAAUGGUACAGACAGAGGUAGUUGAAUGCUGCUUGGGUCCUACAUAGAAUUGUGAAACUUUAGGCAAGUUAUUUAAUCCUUUUCUUAUUUUCCAUUUCUGUGAAAAUAGCAAUCUUUACUCCACUUGUUUUAGAGUAAGUGCUUUGAAGAUGAAAAUGACAGACGGUUAGACUGGAUAGGAUAAGACUCAACUGUCCUGAAGUCUGGACUUAGUUACAGUAUCUAACAUUAACAAUAUCCAGAAGCAUCUGCAGCUUUGAGUCUACUUUAUAGGGACCAUCAGCUUCUAUAAGUAAGGUGAAGUACUUUUGAGGCUGAGAAUAAUGCUUUAAAUUUUUAAAUAUCAUAUCUAAAUCCAGUGUUUGCAAUUAGGAAGCCAGAAAGCUUUCAGAAGUACUUCUGAAAGUUUCAUUAGCCAAAUUAAGUGUUGGGGAUGGUCUCAUUCACAGUUCCCUACCUAGGACCUGAACCAAUACUUGACAGUUUAUAUUAAACAGGAACAGUGAAUAAGGCACAUUAUACAGGUGGCUGUUAUCCACCUAAGUUAUCUGUUUUCAACUAUAAAAAUAAACAUAAGUAACUAAUGGAAUAACAAAAUAAACGUUUAUUUUAUUAGAAUUAGGAAUGUUCUUUCCCUCUGGGCAACCUGAACAGUCCAGUUACAAUGAAAAUCUAAGAACAGUUAUUUCCACAGCACAAGGUGCUCUAUGCACAAAAUUACAGGGUUAGGAGCAUUUAAUCAAUUUAUCGAUCUGAUUGUCUCACCAACCCACCCCAUCCCAUCCCCCAAGUGCUCUAUAUUGGGAUACGUGGCUAAAAUAAUGUUACAUUAAAUCCUUUAACUCUCUUGUUCUAAGUUUCAACUCCUAAUCACAGGUGAACCACACAUUACACUGCAGAUUCAACCAUAUCAAACCAAGUCAGUCAGUCUUGGAUCUACUGGUAUGUAUGUAUACACGUGUGUCUUUAAUAUAUUUAUUUAAACACACAUAAAACAUAUACAAUCUGGGUUGCAGCAAAUUACAAAGAAUUUAGAGUCUGGUGAUGUUAUAUGCUACUCCAUUUACCACAAUUUUAUGUCUCCUGAGCUUUGGAUCAAAAUUUUAUUAGAAAUCAUUGAAAAGUUCACCUGUUGCUCAAUGAAUUGUUCAAAUGAAGCAUGCACCUACAAUGUAACUGACCUCAAAAACACAAGGAGACCCUGGUGCUUACUGUAAGUAGAGCCCUCUGAGAGACUUAGGUAGGUCAAAUAGGGAAGCUGUCUAACAAUAUGGCUUGCCUAUCCCAGCGGGGGGCACUGAAG